Carassius gibelio (silver crucian carp) is the source of this 616-nucleotide long non-coding RNA. RefSeq lists it as uncharacterized. The transcript is spliced from 2 exons. The record is from RefSeq and is a predicted model, not a curated record. NCBI's taxonomy places the organism in Eukaryota, Metazoa, Chordata, Actinopteri, Cypriniformes, Cyprinidae.
UAUUUAGCUGUCUAACCCAGUCACGAAAGGGUUAACUUUCAUUUUGUAUCUUUGAAAGUUAAUUAAACGAGUUCUGUAAUCAUUAUUGAUUAUACUAACUAUACCUUAUUGUAAUAUAGAGUGUAAACGAAAGCUGUGCCUGAAUCCACUGUUAUCACGGAGCUAAAAGCAGUGAAUUCCGUUAAAAUGGUCAGGUUUUGGUAAAGAGUUGGAAACAUCGUGCAGAGAUCCUUUCCACGGAGUGAUACAGAUCCACACGUUCCAGACGUUCUCCCAGAGAUUCAUAGAUUCCCAGUCCGGGUGGCUGGGUGGCGAGCCAACCGUGUUUGUGACUCUGACUUUAGACGAACUGCCUGGAUCAUCCUCUUCAUCUUCGUUGUGGUAGGACAAAAACUAACUCAGAGUUUAAAAAAAGGCCCCAACGGUGAAACUGAACUUUUGUCAACCAAGGCAAAACGAACCGAGGACGAACUGAGCUCAACGAUUCUGAUACGAGAGGGUUUUGUUUUGUUUUUGUGCGCACUUUAUUAUUUUAGUUUGUUAUUUUUCAUAAAUGUGUUUUGCUUGUAUGUAUGUUUCACCCUGUGAAUUUAAUACAGGUUUGUCUAAACUGUCA